This 406-nucleotide ribosomal RNA is filed under the name uncultured bacterium. RNAcentral describes it as "partial 16S ribosomal RNA". It matches the Rfam family "Bacterial small subunit ribosomal RNA", at positions 30 to 526 of the family's 1533-position model. The record is from RNAcentral.
AUUGAACGCUGGCGGCAGGCCUAACACAUGCAAGUCGAACGAGUGGCGGACGGGUGAGUAAUGUCUGGGAAACUGCCUGAUGGAGGGGGAUAACUACUGGAAACGGUAGCUAAUACCGCAUACCAUCAGAUGUGCCCAGAUGGGAUUAGCUAGGUGGUGGUGUAACGGCUCACCAAGGCGACGAUCCCUAGCUGGUCUGAGAGGAUGACCAGCAACACUGGAACGGAGACACGGUCCAGACUCCUACGGGUGGCAGCAGUGGGGAAUAUUGCGCAAUUGGCGGAAGCCUGAUUCAGCCAUGCCGCGUGUAUGAAGAAGGCCUUCGGGUUGUAAAGUACUUUCAGCGGGGAGGCGUUACCCGCCGAAGAAGCACCGGCUAACUCCGUGCCAGCAGCCGCGGUAAUUC